UACGUAGGGUGCGAGCGUUAUCCGGAAUUAUUGGGCGUAAAGCGUCCGCAGGUGGCACUUCAAGUCUGCUGUCAAAGACCGGGGCUUAACCCCAGAAAGGCAGUGGAAACUGAAGUGCUAGAGUGCAGUAGGGGUAGAGGGAAUUCCCGGUGUAGCGGUGAAAUGCGUAGAGAUCGGGAAGAACAUCGGUGGCGAAAGCGCUCUGCUGGACUGCAACUGACACUCAGGGACGAAAGCUAGGGGAGCGAAUGGG
RNAcentral lists this ribosomal RNA (253 nucleotides) under uncultured bacterium. RNAcentral's name for it is "partial 16S ribosomal RNA". It matches the Rfam family "Bacterial small subunit ribosomal RNA", at positions 524 to 776 of the family's 1533-position model. The record is from RNAcentral.